Glossina fuscipes is the source of this 477-nucleotide long non-coding RNA. RefSeq lists it as uncharacterized. The record is from RefSeq and is a predicted model, not a curated record. The transcript is spliced from 3 exons. Lineage: Eukaryota; Metazoa; Arthropoda; Insecta; Diptera; Glossinidae.
AAAACCCAUUUCUUCUUACUAAUAUAUAAUAAAUAUUUUUUCUUAGAAGGUUUCUUAACAAUAACCCCCCAUUUCAUAGGCUGAGACUUGGAGACUUGCUGUCUUCAUUCCACACCUACCUCAGCAAAACGAUUCGAAAUAUCACGAUUUCGUCAAUUACAUGAUGUUGGAGAAAGCCUGCUGGUCAACAAUUUCUGGCAAUUGUAACCUGGCCGUAAUCGGUGAAUUCGGUGUUGGUCAAACGUAGACACUUUGUUUCCUAAACUAGGUUAAUAGGUUUCUUAAUAGUACCACCGCAUAUAAAGGCUGCGACGAGGAUUUUCUAUCUUGACGCCGUACCUAUACCAAUCUUGGAAAUGUGGUUUGUGAGGACGAUUCAAUACUAGUCGGUUUUGGACACUUCCCAUUUAACGAAGAAAGCUUACAAAUUGAAUUUAUAGAACAAUUAUGGUAAACAGCAAUUUACGUAACAGGAAA